CCAGGCGAGUCCCAGGCUUCUAAAGGACACCAGCAGGUGGCAGGCCCGUGGCUAGAAAAGGCCUGCCCUGGACUCAGUCCAGCAGCCCACCGGCAGGGACAAGCAGGAGCUCCUCAGAGCACCACCAGCAGCCCACCGCCGAGCACAACCAGGAGCUCCACCGCCGAGCACAACCAGGAGCUCCACCGCCGAGCACCACCAGCAGCCCACCGCCGAGCACAACCAGGAGCUCCACCGCCGAGCACAACCAGGAGCUCCACCGCCGAGCACAACCAGGAGCUCCACCGCCGAGCACAACCAGAAGCUCCACCGCUGAGCACAACCAGGAGCUCCACCGCCGAGUACAACCAGGAGCUCCACCGUCGAACACAACCAGGAGCUCCACUGCUGAGCACAACCAGAAGCUCCACCGCUGAGCACAACCAGAAGCGCCACAGAGAACAGGGAGCAGGCGCUGGACUGAGGAGCUCCAGGCUCCCCUUUACCAGAAAGGAGCUCCAGGAUCCGGCCUGCCUUCUGCGCUCGGGCUGCAGGUAAAAUGUGUGGUUUUACGGGUUGAUCCGAUCCCUCCAGGCCAGGACGUCACUGCUCUCAUUCCGAGGGCCGUGAGAGAUCUGGUAUUUAAUCUGGCCGUAAAGAUUAAAUUGAUUCACUUUUAAAUCUACUGGUGAGUACUUCAAUGUUCUGUUCACAGCAGAUGUUAUGGUAUUUAAUACUUUUAAAGUACUUAAACUACAAUUGCAGCUGUAAUAUUAUUGGGAUGGCUCAGUUUACAGGAAUAUUAAUGAUAAAUUCAUACUAAAAUGCAUGUUUUCCAUGACUAACGCAGCUAUGUCCAUACAGACUGUGGCCAUUUUGCUGUUAAAAUCAUUUUGGUUUUGAUAGUGCUGUGACUGAUGUAUAUAUUUCAUAUCAUAUCAACAUUUCAAUCAAGAAAUAGUGAAAAAAGUGAAUGACCUCUCCAGGGGUCAGUAAGCUCAGGGACAUAAGAUAGGGGGGGAGAGGGAGAGAGAGAGGCUGAGAGAGAGAGAGAGAGAGAGAAAGAGAGAGGGGGGAAAGAGAUUGAAAGAAGGAGGGAGUGCCAGAUGAAACUUGUUCCUGCGUCUCUUUGAUCAGAUGUGCGGUUUGUGGCUGUAAGAGCUCCACAUAUAAUUCAGUGAAAAUGAGGAAAGUAAAGGCAUAGUAAGACACCAACGUGAGGCUGUAACAUGAGGAUGUCUGGAGGUGUGUUUGCUUUGGACAGGAAACAUUCCAGGGGCAAAUCGACACCCUUGCCUUCACUGGAAGUAAGCCCUGUGCCCGCCUCCUGCCCCGCCCCCACCACCUCACAUGAUAGCAGUGGAACACAACAAGGGAGAAGAACCAGGACAGGAAGAACCACUCAUCAAGGUACAGGUAAGCCCCACCCCUCCGGCUAAGAGAAGCAGCACGUCCUGCUGUGGCUGGUAAAACGGAACCAAGUCAGGUGUUUCUGCGAGGUUUGGUCCCCUUCAACCAGCUACUGCACCGUGAAAUCAGCCAGCAAGACUGCACAUCAACCAGCUCCUGCACCAUGCAAUCAGCCAGCAAGACCGCGCACCAACCAGCUCCUGCACCAUGCAAUCAGCCAGCAAGACCGCACACCAAACAGCUACUGCACCAUGCAAUCAGCCAGCAAGACCACACAACCAGCUACCCGAACAUCAAAUCAGACAGCAGGCCCACCCUGCCUUAUGUUAAGUGUCCCAGUGCAUACGAGAGCUUCAGCAUUCAAGCUCACCUGUAGGUGGAGUUUUACCUGUGCAGCAGAGCCCAAGCCUCAGGUCCUGUUUCUCUUUCAUUCCCAGCGUCUGCUGGAUGUGGCUCUCACGGCCCCUGGCAGACUGCAGGGCCCACAAGGCCUUUCCAUUACAACUACCAAACACAAGCCUGGCUCUGCUUUCCAUUACAACUACCAAACACAAGUCUGGCUCUGCUUUCCAUUACAACUACCAAACACAAGCCUGGCUCUGCUUUCCAUUACAACUACCAAACACAAGCCUGGCUCUGCUUUCCAUUACAACUACCAAACAAAAGUCGGGCUCCGCUUUCCACAAAAACUACCAAACACAAGCCUGGCUCUGCUUUCCAUUACAACUACCAAACACAAGCCAGGUUCUAGGUUCUGCUCUUAUGAAGUUGUGCUUUUUGCUUCAGUUGUUUCUUGCUCAUUUUAAAUGUUGCUGUAGACCUGUUAUGACUCACAAAUGUCCAAAUGAGAGCCCUGUUGGGCCUUGCAGGCUCCAAUCUCUGAAAAAUAAAACAACCAACGGAACUUUA
Long non-coding RNA from Anguilla rostrata (American eel), 2298 nucleotides. RefSeq lists it as uncharacterized. The transcript is spliced from 2 exons. The record is from RefSeq and is a predicted model, not a curated record. NCBI's taxonomy places the organism in Eukaryota, Metazoa, Chordata, Actinopteri, Anguilliformes, Anguillidae.